CGGCGCAGACACAGCUCUGCCACCACCACACAGCCAGGCUCACAGCGACCACAGGAGUCUAGCAGAGGCGCCUGCCCGCGGCCGGCCUGGCAGCCCCAGUGCUAGUGCCAACGCUAAGAAAACGUCCUCGCUGUGCGAGCAAAGGGGGUGCUGAUGGCCACGCGGCUUCAUGUCCCACAGCCGCCCGGUGCAGUCACAAUUUCAUUGUUAGAGGAAAGUCAGCGCAUGCACUCUGUUAAAGACACGCAGGCAGCAAGACCGGCACUCAUUUAGCCACGCGGUCCUUUCUCGUGGUCAGCUGGGGUCGGCACAGGGCGUGGACGGAGAAGAAGGUGCCUGCAGGCAGCAAAGCUGGCCCGGGCUCUGCGGAGACGCACCUGCUGACCUGCCGCCGGCCGCUCCCAGAAUAGCUCUCCUAGUCCAGCCGACCCCAGCCUCGAAGGUGUCUCGUGUACUAAGAUGCUACAGGACAUGUUUUCAUCACUUUCCUCAAUGAAAUUGCAAAUGACUGACAGCCAGGACUCCAGCAAUGACAAUGCACCAGAUCGCUGACUUCGUCUACUCUUUCUUCCUGGCACAGAUCACGUAUCUUAACCGUGACCCCACCCCAAAGUGCUUUAAAACCAACACCUAUCCAUUAUCUUUAACCAGGGCCUGGGGAACAGUCGAGUCAGAACCUGAGGGGUGGCCGGAACUCCUACUCAAACCCCGCCUCUAAAAGCAUGUUGCUGGUUCUAAUUGAACUAGGGCUGCCUCAGCGACACACACGGCAGUCCAUGAAGGAAACCCCGCUGUGAAAAGGUAAGGCAACAGGUUCGUGAACAUCCCACAAAAAACAGAACGUACCUUUCCAUUCCACAGCUUUAUCAAAAACACCUGGACCAAGGGCGGAACGUGUGGACAGGAAAAGAAAUGCCACGUUACGCAACACCAGCUCCGCUAGCAUCAGUCAAACCCAGCGACUCGGGCAACCACUCCCCUCACACACCCAACAACACCGCCGCGUGUCCAACCACUCCCCUCACACACCCAACAACACCGCCACGUGUCCAACCACUCCCCUCUCACACCCAACAACAACACCGCCGCGUGUCCAACCACUCCCCUCACACACCCAACAACACUGCCACGUGUCCAACCACUCCCCUCUCACACCCAACAACACCGCCACGUGUCCAACCACUCCCCUCUCACACCGCAACAACACCGCCACGUGUCCAACCACUCCCCUCUCACACCCAACAACACUGCCGCGUGUCCAACCACUCCCCUCUCACACCGCAACAACACCGCCGCGUGUCCAACCACUCCCCUCUCACACCCAACAACACCGCCACGUGUCCAACCACUCCCCUCACACACCCAACAACACCGCCGCGUGUCCAACCACUCCCCUCACACACCCAACAACACCGCCGCGUGUCCAACCACUCCCCUCACACCCAACAACACCGCCACGUGUCCAACCACUCCCCUCUCACACCCAACACCGCCGCGUGUCCAACCACUCCCCUCACACACCCAACAACACCGCCGCGUGUCCAACCACUCCCCUCUCACACCCAACAACACCGCCACGUGUCCAACCACUCCCCUCUCACACCGCAACAACAACAUCGCCGCGUGUCGGGUGCGGGUGCAGGUGUGGUCUGUGUGUUUCUAUCUCACUCAGUAUAG
This 1677-nucleotide long non-coding RNA is filed under the name Oryctolagus cuniculus (rabbit). RNAcentral's name for it is "lncRNA (ENSOCUG00000034483.1)". The record is from RNAcentral. Lineage: Eukaryota; Metazoa; Chordata; Mammalia; Lagomorpha; Leporidae.